RNAcentral lists this ribosomal RNA (252 nucleotides) under uncultured bacterium. Its description in RNAcentral is "partial 16S ribosomal RNA". It matches the Rfam family "Bacterial small subunit ribosomal RNA", at positions 524 to 776 of the family's 1533-position model. The record is from RNAcentral.
UACGUAGGGUGCAAGCGUUGUCCGGAAUUAUUGGGCGUAAAGAGCUCGUAGGCGGUCUGUCGCGUCGGAUGUGAAAAUCAGGGCUCAACCCUGGACCUGCAUUCGAUACGGGCAGACUAGAGUUCGGUAGGGGAGACUGGAAUUCCUGGUGUAGCGGUGGAAUGCGCAGAUAUCAGGAGGAACACCGGUGGCGAAGGCGGGUCUCUGGGCAGUAACUGACGCUGAGGAGCGAAAGCGUGGGGAGCGAACAGG